RNAcentral lists this ribosomal RNA (229 nucleotides) under uncultured bacterium. RNAcentral describes it as "partial 16S ribosomal RNA". It matches the Rfam family "Bacterial small subunit ribosomal RNA", at positions 568 to 796 of the family's 1533-position model. The record is from RNAcentral.
CAUGUAGGCGGAUAGUUAAGUGUCUUGUGAAAUCCCUCGGCUCAACCGAGGAACUGCUGGGCAUACUGGCUAUCUUGAGGCAAGUAGGGGUGCAUGGAACUCUAGGUGGAGCGGUGGAAUGCGUAGAUAUCUAGAGGAACGCCGGUGGUGAAAACGGUGCACUGGGCUUGUUCUGACGCUGAGGUGCGAAAGCGUGGGUAGCGAACAGGAUUAGAUACCCUGGUAGUCC